This 253-nucleotide ribosomal RNA is filed under the name uncultured bacterium. RNAcentral describes it as "partial 16S ribosomal RNA". It matches the Rfam family "Bacterial small subunit ribosomal RNA", at positions 524 to 776 of the family's 1533-position model. The record is from RNAcentral.
UACGUAGGGGGCAAGCGUUGUCCGGAAUCAUUGGGCGUAAAGCGCGUGUAGGCGGCCCGGUAAGUCCGCUGUGAAAGUCCAGGGCUCAACCCUGGAAUGCCGGUGGAUACUGUCGGGCUCGAGUCCGGAAGAGGCGAGUGGAAUUCCUGGUGUAGCGGUGAAAUGCGCAGAUAUCAGGAGGAACACCAAUGGCGAAGGCAGCUCGCUGGGACGGUACUGACGCUGAGGAGCGAAAGCGUGGGGAGCAAACAGG